GAUGGCCGAACAAAUUACAGGCAAUAAACUUUUAAUUUAUUUAUGAGGAGACUCUC
RNAcentral lists this transfer RNA (56 nucleotides) under Pseudosuccinea columella. RNAcentral's name for it is "tRNA-Lys". The record is from RNAcentral. Lineage: Eukaryota; Metazoa; Mollusca; Gastropoda; Lymnaeidae.